GUAAAGCUGCAGGUAUAAAUAUAGAAGAUAAAUAUAUAAAGACCAUAUUUUAUAAAUGGAUUAAUAUAAAAUCACCAUCUUAUUUACACGAAACACAUCUCAUUAUAAUCAUUCUACAUAAUGUAGGAUCUAUUAUAAAAUGAACAAUCUGUUUCUAAUUUUUGUGCUUAAAUCUUGGGAUAAUUUUAAGUGAAGUGUAGUCAGCAUUUUAAUGUAUUCUUGGAGUUUGAUAUUAUGAGCAUUAUGGACUUGUUAAUUUUAUUCCUAGAUAGUUGAAAUAAGUAUCUGACAGAAAUGUAUUAAGAAGCAGAACACUAUUUUUCUCUAUCAGCUGAAAAGCAAAUGCAUUAUUAGCAUCUGAAUUGAAUGCUGGAAUCUCCAACAUACAUGUAUGUCUAUCUAUGUGUUUUGUGAUCUGAGUCU
This 423-nucleotide long non-coding RNA is filed under the name Bos taurus (domestic cattle). RNAcentral's name for it is "long non-coding RNA NONBTAT013770". Lineage: Eukaryota; Metazoa; Chordata; Mammalia; Artiodactyla; Bovidae. The record is from RNAcentral.